RNAcentral lists this ribosomal RNA (466 nucleotides) under uncultured bacterium. RNAcentral describes it as "partial 16S ribosomal RNA". It matches the Rfam family "Bacterial small subunit ribosomal RNA", at positions 28 to 507 of the family's 1533-position model. The record is from RNAcentral.
GACGAACGCUGGCGGCGUGCUUAACACAUGCAAGUCGAACGGAAAGGCCUCGUUCGGGGGGUAUUCUCGUGGGGCGCAGGUGAGAAUAACGCGAGUAUCAUGUGCCUGACACUGGGGUAAAUUUUGGGAAAAGUGGCUCAUAUCGGGUAUGAGCUCCUGCUGUACGUUGGGGGGUGGGAAGAUUCGGCGGUUGGGGAUGGGGUCGCGGGUUAUCAGCUUGUUGGUGGGGUAGUGGCUUACCAAGGCUUUGACGGGUAGCCGGCCUGAGAGGGGGACCGGCCACAUUGGGACUGAGAUACGGCCCAGACUCCUACGGGAGGCAGCAGUGGGGAAUAUUGCACAAUGGGCGGAAGCCUGAUGCAGCAACGCCGCGUGCGGGAUGACGGCCUUCGGGUUGUAAACCGCUUUCGCCUGUGACGAAGCGUGAGUGACGGUAAUGGGUAAAGAAGCACCGGCUAACUACGUG